AUUGAACGCUGGCGGCAUGCCUAACACAUGCAAGUCGAACGGCAGCACGGGGGCAACCCUGGUGGCGAGUGGCGGACGGGUGAGGAAUGCAUAGGAAUCUGCCCAGUUGUGGGGGAUAACGUAGGGAAACUUACGCUAAUACCGCAUACGCCCUGAGGGGGAAAGUGGGGGAUCUUCGGACCUCACGUUAAUGGAGCGGCCGAUAUCUGAUUAGCUAGUUGGUAGGGUAAAAGCCUACCAAGGCGACGAUCAGUAGCUGGUCUGAGAGGAUGAUCAGCCACACUGGGACUGAGACACGGCCCAGACUCCUACGGGAGGCAGCAGUGGGGAAUUUUGGACAAUGGGCGCAAGCCUGAUCCAGCCAUGCCGCGUGAGUGAAGAAGGCCUUCGGGUUGUAAAGCUCUUUCGCAAGGAAAGAAAACUUACAUGUAAAUAAU
RNAcentral lists this ribosomal RNA (437 nucleotides) under uncultured bacterium. RNAcentral's name for it is "bacterial SSU rRNA". It matches the Rfam family "Bacterial small subunit ribosomal RNA", at positions 30 to 468 of the family's 1533-position model. The record is from RNAcentral.